AAUCUUCAGACGAGCUUCCACAUCAGGCAAAUUCUAGACGGACUUCUCUGACAAUCGGAUUUUUACCAAACUUCACCAACUGAAAGUCUCCGUCCGAGCUUCUACAGCAGAUGACUCCCGCUUGUAGCAUCAGUACCCAAGGCAUCCGACAAUAGUGGACUCAUCAGUAACCUCAAAAACAUCCGAGCUUCUCCUGGAUUGCUGAGACAGAGAGAGCUAUUUCACUCCAUCAGAUGUCCUAGCCGAGCUUCAGCAGUCAGGCCUGAACUCUCUGGCAAGUCACGACAAUGGCCACUAUCCUUCACUCUCUGUAACGGAUUUCGCAUGGCUCCAGCACUCUCUGGCAAGUCACAACAAUGGACACCACUCCACUCUCCAUUACAAACUCCACGUGGCCCUGAACGGCCCCCUGACGCCACUACUCUCCGUAACAAACUCCACGUGGCCCCGAACGGCCUAAU
Molecule: long non-coding RNA, 461 nt
Filed under: Elaeis guineensis (African oil palm)
Lineage: Eukaryota; Viridiplantae; Streptophyta; Magnoliopsida; Arecales; Arecaceae
Description: long non-coding RNA (EGUI_LNC067394)
Source: RNAcentral